This 253-nucleotide ribosomal RNA is filed under the name uncultured bacterium. RNAcentral's name for it is "partial 16S ribosomal RNA". It matches the Rfam family "Bacterial small subunit ribosomal RNA", at positions 524 to 776 of the family's 1533-position model. The record is from RNAcentral.
UACAGGGGUGGCGAGCGUUGUCCGGAAUUACUGGGUGUAAAGGGUGCGUAGGCGGGUCGGCAAGUCCGUGGUAAAAUCCUACAGCUUAACUGUAGACGGUCCAUGGAUACUGCUGAUCUUGAGUGCGAGAGAGAAGAGUGGAAUUCCCAGUGUAGCGGUGAAAUGCGUAGAUAUUGGGAAGAACACCAGUUGCGAAGGCGGCUCUUUAGCUCGUUACUGACGCUGAGGCACGAAAGCAUGGGGAGCAAACAGG